UAAACUUUAAGUUAAAUAAACUAAAGGUCUUCAAAACCUUCAAUAAGUAGUUCUUAAGUUUAA
This 63-nucleotide transfer RNA is filed under the name Pseudoniphargus sp. 2-Andalusia. Its description in RNAcentral is "tRNA-Trp". Lineage: Eukaryota; Metazoa; Arthropoda; Malacostraca; Amphipoda; Allocrangonyctidae. The record is from RNAcentral.